GGGUAUGGGACCGUCUCUCCCGGCUCCAUAGGACACCUCUCCUGGGAGUUAUGGCCUGGUCUCCGCCCCGAGCGAUAGGCCUACCCAGGGCACUCAAAGCUCCCAGACGACAGUCCACAGUGUGGGCCACAGUUAGCCGUCCAAGCCCCUGAGGCCUCGGUGCCCGGCCUGACCAGCUGUCCCGCCUCGUUUGCACGUGCAGGAAGGCAGGGAGAGAUUGGGAGAAGCCGAAGACAUCACGCGGGAGGCGGCCACGUUCUCGCGGACCCUGGGUCCCGAGCCCAGGUGUUUGCCCAUGGCCGGGUCGGGGGCCGCGGACAACCGGAGUCUGGCGAGGCAGAGGUCGCAGCAGGCCUGGUCCAGUUUCCUCAAUACCUCACUUAGCCCAGAUGCCCUCAGCCGGUUCCCUGUCCCACGACAGAAAGUCAACAGCUUGCCUGCGCCAGCUGCGAAAGAGCACGGCGACAGAGGGAAGUCUCAGGAGGAGCCGUCCUGGCCUCCGGGCGUCGGCUCUCAGUUCCCGACGCCCCUAGGACCGGGAGUCCGAGGCUGCCCCGUUGCGCACCCCGCCAGGGCUUGUGGGGCCUGAGGGACUAGGAGAGCGGAGAAACUGACCACAGCUCUGGGCAUGGAGCCGGACAGGCAGACCAAGGAAACCUGGCAGCCACUCUUCAGAGCCUUCCGCUGCCGUAGGCGACCCGCCACUUCGUGUUGGGCAACAAGGGGCGGGCGCCUGGCCUGGGCUUCGGCCGGGGAGCCCCCGCCGGGCAACCGCGCCAAGGAAAUGCUUUUUUUCUCCCUUCCCCUCCCCCUUCUCCCCUGAGGCAGCUUCCGUUCUCUAAAUGUAAUAAGAAGAGGGGGGUUAUCUCUGGGGCUUCUUCUCCCCCGCACCCACAUCGGUCUAGUCACCGCUAGAUGCUGGUGUUCCGCAAACAAGCGCCAAACUCACACAAGUUUCCCCGAAAACCAUCCACUUUAACUGCGGUGAGGGAAAAUGCCGAGAGAAAAAGUGAAGGUUGGUGUUUCCCUAAAUGCAAAACAUCAGAGAGGGUUUGAAAAGAGCUUUGCGUUCCUUGCGAAACCUCCAUUGUUACUUGGCAAACAAUGGGAGCCUGGGCGACUGCAGGGCUGUGAGAAUGAAUAGGCGAUCCACGGGAUGUGUGCGGGUCAGUGCUUGCGGUCCUGGGCCUAAAGCCCCUUUCUCAGCUUGCCACAAUAAACCGAGCAAGGUUCAGUCUUUACUGGGUCACCGGCCAUCCUCUAUUAUUCAACACUUCACAACAAAAAACACUUAUUAAUCAGCGCUGACCAGAGGCCCCCUUUGAAACAAGAGAGGAGAGAGAGGAGGGGAGAGUGGGAGAGGUGAAGAGAAGAUUGAGAAUCCUGGGACAGAUCUUUCUAAAACCAGAACAACCAUAGGUCCUUUCCUCUGGUGGUCAAAGUUUAUUUGACAAAACAAAGUUUUUAAUCAGGCCAGAGAGACUUGCAUUUCUCAUUUGCCUGGUUCCUUGUUUUUUCUUCCGAAGACUUUCAAGACUUUGUUGCAAGGAAGGAUGGCUUUAGGUCAAAUUGCUAAGGUCUGAUCUUAAAGAUCUAAUUGCUAUUGGAAGUAAAGGCUGAUUUCCCAGCUGGGCCUCCACUCGAGAUGGUGCAAGGAAGACUGUCCACUCUGCUGUGGGCACCCUGCUGAUGGAUGAGGUGUCAGGCCAGUCGUCAUGUGAGCACUGGUUUCCAAAUGAUGCAGGCACUGGGUUCCAUGCCAAAUUUACUGUGACAUUAGCUGAGCAGUUGAGGUCAUCUACAGAGAAGAAUAUCGUGACAUUUUAAAGGUAGAAAACUUGUACCCAAGGGACUAUGAGUCACUCAUCACUCAAGGCAAGGACUCAUAGAUUCUACCUGCCACUUCCCUCCUGGUCCUCUGACUCAUCACUUUGGGGUAAGAAACAUAUCUGAUGCAAAAAUGUAAAAAUAAAUGAAGGGCAUGAUAAAUUGAACUUUAGUGUAGAUGUACUUUGGCUGUCAUAAAUAAUAUAAAAACUGAGAGUCUGGAGAGAUCUGUGAAAUUAUAGUGAUGUGUAAUUUGUUCUGUGCUUUCUUAGCUUCUCAUUUCACGUUAACUUUAAGAUUAUCCCAUUAUUUUAGAAUAGUUUCUCCAGUUUAGAUUCAGUAGUUUUUUUUCCUGUUUCCUCCUUCCUUCCCUCUUUAUGUUUCAAUUUGACAAAUAAUGAACAUUCACAGAUGAAAUAUGCACAGUUAAUGCUUAUAGUCCUACUUCUUUUGGAACCCAUUUCUGAAGGCAGAAUUUGUUGCGGUGGUGGUUGUUUUGUCGUAGGACAGAAGCUUAGUCAACCCUGGCUCAGCUCCCAGUCGCAAGUGAUCAAAGUUGAAUCCUAUCGGCAGAUUUCAUGAAGACCAGUCUAACCAACUGAAUUCCUCUAUUUUCAUCACUUCCCUCGGUUAGUGUUGUGUUGCGAAUGUUAUAUCAACUUGACACAAGCU
RNAcentral lists this small RNA (2499 nucleotides) under Rattus norvegicus (Norway rat). Its description in RNAcentral is "uncharacterized LOC108349983". Lineage: Eukaryota; Metazoa; Chordata; Mammalia; Rodentia; Muridae. The record is from RNAcentral.